UGCAAGUCGAGCGCAUCGAUGGGAGCUUGCUCCCUGAAGUGAGCGGCGGAUGGGUGAGUAACACGUGGGUAACCUGCCUGUCAGAUCGGGAUAACUGUGGGAAACCGCAGCUAAUACCGGAUAAUCCUUCGCACCGCAUGGUGCGGAGUUGAAAGAUGGUUUCGGCCAUCACUGACAGAUGGGCCCGCGGUGCAUUAGUUAGUUGGCGGGGUAACGGCCCACCAAGACAGCGAUGCAUAGCCGACCUGAGAGGGUGAUCGGCCACAUUGGGACUGAGACACGGCCCAAACUCCUACGGGAGGCAGCAGUAGGGAAUCUUCCACAAUGGACGAAAGUCUGAUGGAGCAACGCCGCGUGAGCGAAGAAGGUUUUCGGAUCGUAAAGCUCUGUUGCUGGAGAAGAACGAGUGCGAGAGGAAAUGCUCGUACUGUGACGGUAUCCAGCCAGAAAGCCACGGCUAACUACGUGCCAGCAGCCGCGGUAAUACGUAGGUGGCAAGCGUUGUCCGGAAUUAUUGGGCGUAAAGCGCGCGCAGGCGGCUUCUUAAGUCUGAUGUGAAAUCUUGCGGCUCAACCGCAAACGGUCAUUGGAAACUGGGAAGCUUGAGUGCAGAAGAGGAGAGUAGAAUUCCACGUGUAGCGGUGAAAUGCGUAGAUAUGUGGAGGAAUACCAGUGGCGAAGGCGGCUCUCUGGUCUGUAACUGACGCUGAGGCGCGAAAGCGUGGGGAGCAAACAGGAUUAGAUACCCUGGUAGUCCACGCCGUAAACGAUGAAUGCUAGGUGUUAGGGGGGUCCAACCCCUUAGUGCUGAAGUUAACACAUUAAGCAUUCCGCCUGGGGAGUACGACCGCAAGGUUGAAACUCAGAGGAAUUGACGGGGGCCCGCACAAGCAGUGGAGCAUGUGGUUUAAUUCGAAGCAACGCGAAGAACCUUACCAGGUCUUGACAUCCUCUGACAAGCCUAGAGAUAGGCCGUUCCCCUUCGGGGGACAGAGUGACAGGUGGUGCAUGGUUGUCCUCAGCUCGUGUCGUGAGAUGUUGGGUUAAGUCCCGCAACGAGCGCACCCUUGAUCUUAGUUGCCAGCAUUCAGUUGGGCACUCUAAGGUGACUGCCGGUGACAACCGGAAGAAGGUGGG
This 1137-nucleotide ribosomal RNA is filed under the name Sporolactobacillus laevolacticus. Its description in RNAcentral is "bacterial SSU rRNA". It matches the Rfam family "Bacterial small subunit ribosomal RNA", at positions 56 to 1177 of the family's 1533-position model. The record is from RNAcentral. Lineage: Bacteria; Bacillati; Bacillota; Bacilli; Caryophanales; Sporolactobacillaceae.